ACUCCUGCGGGAGGCAGCAGUGGGGAAUUUUGGACAAUGGGCGAAAGCCUGAUCCAGCCAUGCCGCGUGCAGGAUGAAGGCCUUCGGGUUGUAAACUGCUUUUGUACGGAACGAAACGGCCUUUUCUAAUAAAGAGGGCUAAUGACGGUACCGUAAGAAUAAGCACCGGCUAACUACGUGCCAGCAGCCGCGGUAAUACGUAGGGUGCAAGCGUUAAUCGGAAUUACUGGGCGUAAAGCGUGCGCAGGCGGUUAUGUAAGACAGUUGUGAAAUCCCCGGGCUCAACCUGGGAACUGCAUCUGUGACUGCAUAGCUAGAGUACGGUAGAGGGGGAUGGAAUUCCGCGUGUAGCAGUGAAAUGCGUAGAUAUGCGGAGGAACACCGAUGGCGAAGGCAAUCCCCUGGACCUGUACUGACGCUCAUGCACGAAAGCGUGGGGAGCAAACAGGAUUAGAUACCCUUGUAGUCCCAUG
Molecule: ribosomal RNA, 473 nt
Filed under: uncultured organism
Description: partial 16S ribosomal RNA
Rfam family: Bacterial small subunit ribosomal RNA
Source: RNAcentral